GACAGAGGCGGCGAGCGUUACCCCGGAUUCACUGGGCGUAAAGGGUGCGUAGGCGGUCGCGCAUGUCGUCCGUGAAAUCUCCCGGCUUAACCGGGAGAGGUCGGGCGAAACGGCGCGGCUGGAGGGCUGGAGAGGGGAGCGGAACUUCUAGAGUAGCGGUGAAAUGCGCAGAUACUAGAAGGUACCUCAAUAGCGAAGGCAGCUCCCUGGCCGGUUCCUGACGCUGAGGCACGAAAGCGUGGGGAGCAAACCGGAUUAGAAACCCGGUAGUACGU
This 275-nucleotide ribosomal RNA is filed under the name uncultured bacterium. RNAcentral's name for it is "partial 16S ribosomal RNA". It matches the Rfam family "Bacterial small subunit ribosomal RNA", at positions 524 to 798 of the family's 1533-position model. The record is from RNAcentral.